This 1081-nucleotide long non-coding RNA is filed under the name Triticum aestivum (bread wheat). Its description in RNAcentral is "long non-coding RNA (TAES_LNC019287)". The record is from RNAcentral. Lineage: Eukaryota; Viridiplantae; Streptophyta; Magnoliopsida; Poales; Poaceae.
CAUGCUAGCUGACUGAAUUACCUCGCAAAGCUUCUGUUCUUGCAUUUCUACAUCGCCCUUGGUGCUGAAAAUAUAUAAAACAUUAGGCUAACGCUUAACAAGAUUUUGAUACUUCAGGUGAUAGGAACUAUCUACACAAAUAUAGGAUUAUGCAUAUGGAUAGUUAGCAUGCAGCAGUCAGUUUCACAGGAUGUUGCUGAUGAGCAACCUAUUGCUGCCCUUGUUCUCAUAUAUCGGAACGUACACAGAUCCAUCGAGCAGAACCAUCAGCUUGAUGUCAUUCAUUCCUUGAGAUCCACAGCAACAUAAUUUGACACACAUAUUGGGAUUACUAACAAGCUGACCUCCAGAUCCUUUCUGGAUACACCAAUACUCAGAUUUUUUUUUCUUAGUGGGAACUACUAAUAUGAGAAGUUAUCUGAUACAUAACACAAUUACCACUCAAUAUAGGAUAAAUUGUUCCAUGGGAGUAUCUUCUAGCUUUUUUACUUUCUUUUGAUCCAAAGUAGGCGCUGGGACAAAGUAAAUCUUUAAACACUUCUGUAGUAAAUUCAAAACAAUAAGAAGUCGUUUAACUGGCAGAACAUAGCAUUAUGAAAAUAUAUAGCAAAGUCAUUUUUGUGUAUGCUGGUUGCAACAUCGACACAACACAUAUUCUAGCAAACAGACCUAUGUUCGACACAUUCUACCACAAAGUGCCUGUCCAAAGAUCCUACAUUUUGGUACAGAGGUUGUACGUCACAAACCAUCUAUCCUAUCAUCAGUGUAUGCAGUAUGCAGUACACCAUUUUCCAUAGCUGGAAAGAGACCAUGCAUCAUAAUCUGGUCACAAUAUGUAGACAGAAGUGACAAAAUAGGGAGGCACACCUUCACAAAACAGUUCUUAGUAAUUAUAGAAUGCCCUCUAUUAACUGAAGUAAAAUCAAGCAUGUAUGUGUGCUCACUGAAAUGUAUAUGCACCAUUGCCGAUUGAAACAAGAUACACACAGCCGAUUGAUAACCGACAGUUGAAUUAUUGGCGGUCGAAUGUAUGUAUGUGUCCCCCCUCGCCUCUUGUAUGUAUAAAGGACCAAAAUGAUGG